Molecule: ribosomal RNA, 160 nt
Filed under: Akashiwo sanguinea
Lineage: Eukaryota; Dinophyceae; Gymnodiniales; Gymnodiniaceae
Description: 5.8S ribosomal RNA
Rfam family: 5.8S ribosomal RNA
About the family: 5.8S ribosomal RNA (5.8S rRNA) is a component of the large subunit of the eukaryotic ribosome. It is transcribed by RNA polymerase I as part of the 45S precursor that also contains 18S and 28S rRNA.
Source: RNAcentral
ACAACUUUCAGCAAUGGAUACCUCGGCUCGGACACCGAUGAAGGGCGCAGCGAACUGUGAUAAGCAUUGUGAAUUGCAGAAUUCCGUGAACCAACAGAAUCUUGAACGUAUACUGUGCUCUCGGGAUAUGCCUGAGAGCAUGCCUGCUUCAGUGUCUCUU